Long non-coding RNA from Esox lucius (northern pike), 2716 nucleotides. The record is from Ensembl. Lineage: Eukaryota; Metazoa; Chordata; Actinopteri; Esociformes; Esocidae.
GGCUAAAGCCAGGAGAUGGCAGGGGUGGGGCUAAAGCCAGGAGAUGGCAGGGGUGGGGCUAAAGCCAGGAGGUGGCAGUGGUGGGGCUAAAGCCGGUAGAUAUCCGAACUGGGAUACUUUGACAGACAGUCUAACAAUGACUUAGAGUGAUCUAUGAAUCCCAAAAUAUUCUCUGUAUUUUCCAUUAUUCCCAUUUAAGGGUUCUGAAUUGGCUGAAUAAGGAUGACCAUGUUAGUUAAUCGUGGGACGAGCACUUAUGUGGGACGAGCUGUAAUUGUCAAGUUCAAAUGAUCACCUCAAAGCAAUUUGCAUCUGAAGAAUACAUUACUGAUGAUUACCAUUUUAUAGCCAUACUGCGGUAAACUGCCAUUAGGACACCAUAUGAAAGUGAUUCUGCCCCAGGUGAUGGAAGGGAGAUUAUGAAUGCAUUCUUGCCAAGCCAGCAAACCCUGGGGCCUGUCCUACGUUGAAUCCUAUUCUCCACAAACCUCACUGUAACUGGGAACCUUAUGGACUACAGGGAAUAGGAUGCUUUUUACAACUGAAACCUGAGAUGGAAACUAGAUUUUACACUGAGCCCUAUACUAAACAUUAAGUCCUGUGAUUAACCCUAAGCUGUGUACUAAAUACUGAGCCUUGUACUAAACAUUAAGUCCUGUACUAAACAAUAAGUCCUGGACUUAACACUGAGCCCUGUACUCAACACAUUGCCCUGUAAUGAACACUGUGCCCUGUACUAACCACUGAGCUGUGUACUAACCACUGAGCUGUGUACUAACAAAUGAGCUGUGUACUAACCACUGAGCUAAGGGCAGGUAACGUUUAGUGACUGAAUGUAUUUUUCAGUUUGUGUGUGUGUUUCUUAGACUACAGAUGUAUUGUUUUUUUGGGAUGCAUGGGAAUGUCCCACCUUGCUUGGUUAUGUAGCGAGGAGGAAUGCAUUAGCAAAGCCUCUGUAAACACAGAAACAAAACACACAAAGACUCGCCAUGAAUUAUAAAUUAAGAUACAUAUUCGUCUGUUUGCUAGAUGCCUAGGACAAUGUAUUUGACGCAUGCAAGUAGAUGUUCUGCUCCUGUUCCUCUGUUUUUGAAAAGGUGGUUGUGUUUUUCUUUUUCUUGAUGUUUAUGUUAAUGGGAUGUAAUGGAUAGAUUUCCUGAUAUCAACAACUCCAAAUUGACAACAUGACCUGUCUGUCAUGAAUGAGAGAUGAUCUGUGUUGCAGAAUAUUCCAGAAGUCACAGAUUGGUGGAGAAGAGAGAGGAAAGAAAGGAAGAGCGUUACAGGGAGGAUGAUGAGGAGUAGAGAGAGGAUGAUGAGGGAUGAUGAUGAGUAGAGAGUAGAUAAUGAGGGGUAGAGAGGAUGAUGAAGGAUGAUGAGGGGUAGAGGGAGGAUAAUGAAGGGUGGAGAGAGGAUGUUGAGGGGAAGAGGAAUUAUAGGGGAAUAAGGAUGAUGAUAAUGGUUAGAGGUAGAAUGAUUAGGGAUGAUUAGGGGUAUAGAGAGGGUAAUGAGGGGUGAUGAGGAGUAGAGGGAUAAUAUUGAGGGAUGAUGAGGGGUAGAGGAAUGAUAAUUAGGAUAAUGAGGGAUGAUGAGAGGUAGGAGGAUUAUGAAGGGUAGAGGAAGGAUAAUGAGGGAUGAUGAGAGGUAGAGGGGGGAUGAUGAGGGGUAGAGGAAUGAUAAUGAGGAUAUAGAAGGAUGAUGAGAGAUAGAGGGGGGAUGAUGAGGGGUAGAAGAAUGUAAAUGAGGAUAAUGAGGGGUGAUGAGAGAGGGGGGGGGGUGAUGAGGAAUGAUAAUGAUGAGGAAUGAAUAUUAUAUAGGGGUGUUAUACAGGGAUGUUCUAUAAAGGUGUUUUAUAAGUGUAUUAUAUAGGGUUGUUAUACAGAGAUGUUCUAUAAGGGUGUUUUAUAAGUGUAUUAUAUAGGGUUGUUAUACAGUGUUGUUCUACAGGGAUGUUCUAUAAGGGUGUUUUAUAAGUGUAUUAUAUAGGGGUGUUAUACAGAUAUGUUCUAUAAGGGUGUUUUAUAAGUGUAUUAUAUAGGGUUGUUAUACAGUGUUGUUCUACAGGGAUGUUCUAUAAGGAUGUUUUAUAAUUGUAUUAUAUAGGGGUGUUAUACAGGGAUGUUCUAUAAGGGUGUUUUAUAAUUGUAUUAUAUAGGGGUGUUAUACAGGAAAAUCCUAUAAGGGUGUUAUAUAAGUGUAUUACGUAUAUAACAUAUGUAACAGGGUUUUAUAUAUUCAUGAGCUAUAGGAGUGUUAUGCAGAGCUGUUCUAUAUGGAUUAUAUGUGGGGUUCUCUUUAAGACUGGAUCUCUCAUCAGGGUGUUCCAUAGAAAUGUUCCAUAGUAAGGUUUUAUAGGGAUGUUCUGUAAGAGUGUUAAGUAGAGUUGUUCCAUGGGAACGUUCCAAAGGGAUGUUCCACAGGAGUGUUUUGUCAGGGGGUUUCUUAAAGUUGUUUAAAAGGGUUGUUCGGUAGGAAUGUUCCAUAGGAAGGUUCCAUAGUGAUGUUCUGUAUUUUUGUUUGGGUCUUCCAAAACAAUGUUCCGUCUGGGUGUUCUGUAGGGAUUUUCCUUGGGAAGGUUCCAAUGGGAUGUUCCAUAGGGGUGUUUCAGAGGUGUUCCUUUGGGGUGUUCCAUAGGGGUGUUCCGUACAGUUAAGGGUGCAAAUUGGAACACAGAUUCCUUUAAUCCGAAGCGUUUUCAUGGAGCUCAGUAUGAGGC